RNAcentral lists this long non-coding RNA (561 nucleotides) under Phaseolus vulgaris (common bean). RNAcentral's name for it is "long non-coding RNA (PVUL_LNC002089)". Lineage: Eukaryota; Viridiplantae; Streptophyta; Magnoliopsida; Fabales; Fabaceae. The record is from RNAcentral.
GAAACCCUAACAUUCACUCUUCCCUUCGCGUCUCCCUCUUCACUCCUCCGCCUCAACUCUCAUCGUUCAGCGUCUCUCUCCUCCCUCCGCUGCCUCAGCUCUCGAUCGUUCAGCGUCGCCCUCCUCCGCGUCAUGUAUAGGUCUCCCUCCUCCGCGUCCAGGUCUCCCUGCUCCGCAUCGCUGUCCUCCGCGUCCAGUCGCGUCGCCCUCCUCCGCGUCCAGUUCUGCCUCUGCGUCCAGCUCUGACUCCGCGGCCGUCACUCCUCCUCCGCUACGUAGCUUCGUCCGCCUGCCUAGUCUCCUACUCAGGUUCAGAUUUGAGUAUUUUUUAUUUGGAUUAUUGAACUAAUUUUUGAGUUGGAUUAUUGAGUUGUGGUUGUUGGUAUUAUUGAUUUUACUUGUGAGUUCUGUUUUGAGUUUGAGUUUAUGUCCGAGUUUUGUCCUGUAUUGUGUAUGUUGUGUUGUCGCGCCUUUAUAUGAGCCUCGUGCAGUUUCUCAACGGCGUUCAAUUUCAUCUUUCCUAUUUUGAAUUUGGAUUCAUCCACUUUUAUUGUACUGAAC